This 109-nucleotide non-coding RNA is filed under the name uncultured Clostridium sp. RNAcentral's name for it is "FMN riboswitch (RFN element)". It matches the Rfam family "FMN riboswitch aptamer (RFN element)". Rfam says of the family: The RFN element is a highly conserved domain that is found frequently in the 5'-untranslated regions of prokaryotic mRNAs that encode for flavin mononucleotide (FMN) biosynthesis and transport proteins. This element is a metabolite-dependent riboswitch that directly binds FMN in the absence of proteins. The record is from RNAcentral. Lineage: Bacteria; Bacillati; Bacillota; Clostridia; Eubacteriales; Clostridiaceae.
AUCUUCAGGGCAGGGUGAAAUUCCCUACCGGCGGUAAAGCCCGCGAGCUAAUUUAGCAUGAUUCGGUGAAAUUCCGAGGCCGACAGUAAAGUCUGGAUGAAAGAAGAUA